RNAcentral lists this transfer RNA (70 nucleotides) under Felis catus (domestic cat). It matches the Rfam family "tRNA", at positions 8 to 63 of the family's 71-position model. From Rfam's summary of the family: Transfer RNA (tRNA) molecules are approximately 80 nucleotides in length. Their secondary structure includes four short double-helical elements and three loops (D, anti-codon, and T loops). Lineage: Eukaryota; Metazoa; Chordata; Mammalia; Carnivora; Felidae. The record is from Rfam by way of RNAcentral.
UGGCUCAGUUGGUUGAGCGUCUGACUUCGGCUCAGGUCAUGAUCUCACGGUUUGUGGGUUCGAGCCCCAU